GCGCCUAUUUUCUGUUUUCUGUUCUCUGUUUUCUGUUACUGGCCUGAUCUGAUUCUCGGAGGGAAGGCUGGAUGCAGCUUAACUUCCCCCUGGCUGGUGUCUGGUGGAGACGUCCCAGCCCCAUCUGGGUCUCCGGACCGUCUGGGUUGGGCUUGAUCACCCCAACCAUUCGUUCUAUGUUCAGUGCUCUGUGUGCCCUGUUAAACGUGUCCUGUUAGCCUAUCUUUAUCUCUGGUGUGGCCCACUGUUUAACCUCCGUCAUGGGUCAGUCUUCGUCCGAGCCUUGCUCCCCCCUUAAAUGCAUGCUAAAUAACUUCUCUGGUUUCAAAAAAAGAGGAAAGAACUAUGGCUUUAACCUAAAGCCUUCCUGGCUGCGGACAUGUUGCCCCCUGGACUGGCCGAUGCUCUCUGGGGUUGACUGGCCCCCAGAGGGCUCCUAGAAUCUUAACCUUGCUUAUGCCGUCCGCAGGAUUUGUCAUGAUGUUCAUCUCGACCAGAAGCCAUAUGCUGUGACUUGGGUCGACCUCCUAAAUGACCCACCUUCCUGUACGAGAAAGUGCCAGAAACAGGGCCAAAAGCUGUCAUCUGGCAUCUCCCUUCCCCACUCCCCUUCCUGUUCUCCUCCAAACUCCCGAACCCUUGCUUCCUUCACUCAACCUUCAAAGAAGCUUUACCCAGUGCUUCAGGAGAUACCCGAAGGGAGGGACUUGUUAUCCGAUUCUCAGAGACCACCUCCUUAGCCCCAGACCCCACUAGCUCCCCAGGAACCAAAAGCCGCAGGAGAUCCUUUGACUAGUCCCCCACAUACCAGAUCAGGAGCCCUCUAGAGAGGAGAACACCAGUCCUCUGAUGCCCCAGUUCCCAUCCUUCCUCUUAGGCAAACGGCUCCGGCUCCCGGUCCAGACAGGCAGCCAACACGCCCGAUGGUUGUCUACACUCCUUUCUCCACCUCGGACCUCUACAACUGGAAAACUCAGAACCCGCCUUUCUCUGAAACCCCCAGGGCCUAAUUGACUUAUUGCGCUCUAUUUUCCCCACGCACUUACCUACUUGGGAAGAUUGUCACCAACUCUUGCAGGUCUUACUGACUUCAAGGAAAGGGCCCGAGUGCCCCGGGAAGCCACGAGAGCAGUCCUUGGCCCGGAUGGAAUGCCUACCACAGACCUUCACGGAAUUGAGCACGUUUUCCCUUCCGCGCCGCCCCAGUGGGACCCUAACACGGAUAACGGAAUUAUCAAGCAGAGCCUGAGUCAGAUCGGACCACGACUAGAGGAAAGAGAAAGACAAAGACAAAUUCACCAAAAUUGGUAUGAGUCUGUAUUUUCCUGGUCCCCUUGGCUAACGACUCUCCUGAGUGCCCUUACGGGACCCCUUAUCUUCCUCUUUCUAGCUAUAACUAUAGGACCCUGUUUGAUAAAACUACUACUUCAGUUCGUAAAUUGAAAAAUAGGAACUAUAAAGCUUAUGGUGUCACGUAGCCAAUAGGUCCCAUUACCCCAGAUGCCAAAAUAAGGUUAUUCAAAGGUUUGAAUAACUAACAAACAGGAGUGGGGAAUGUAAUAGGUCAACUUAUAAGAUAUCAGAAAGCUUAUUGUAUAUCAGUUCGGCUUAAACUCACCUUUCAUGAAUAAUUGAGAUAAAAGCUUAUGUAGUUCCCUAACACGGAAAUUAACCGCCCUGUCUCGCUUCUGUAACUUUGCCUGCUUGGGAAAUAGAUACCUUAGGCUGCAAAACGCUCCCCCACCCCUUUGACCAAGAUCUGGCCUAGGCAAGACCAACAUGUAAAAAGUCACCAACUCACUGCCCCACGGUAUCUUAGGUGUCUAACUACAGUUGGUCAUUUUAAACCCUCUUAGGACAAAGAACUUUAAAUUGAUAGGUUCCCACCAAAACUAAGGUCUGUGUGUCACAAUAGAAUUGGCUACCAUGAAAUGCUGUAAAUUGCAAUUGGGUAACUAAAUAAUGACCUAUUCUGACUUGCUAAAAUCCAUAUAAGCUCACUGCUACCUUUGUUCGGGGCCAUUCUCUACACUUUUCUCCUUAAGAUCAGGAGAUCAGGUUUGGCCCGGCCGUGAAUAAAAUCUUGCCUCGCUUCUAUUCGGUAGAUCUGAAGAGCACACGCCU
Molecule: long non-coding RNA, 2124 nt
Organism: Leopardus geoffroyi (Geoffroy's cat)
Lineage: Eukaryota; Metazoa; Chordata; Mammalia; Carnivora; Felidae
Exons: 4
Source: RefSeq, a predicted model, not a curated record